RNAcentral lists this long non-coding RNA (4164 nucleotides) under Homo sapiens (human). Its description in RNAcentral is "HSALNT0149379". Lineage: Eukaryota; Metazoa; Chordata; Mammalia; Primates; Hominidae. The record is from RNAcentral.
ACCCAUAGUACCCCAUUCCUUGCUGCAAUGUAAUUACAAGUGUGCUCCUGGUGGUCUUUAACUGAAGGGCACUGACUGGGUACUGGUGAAGUUCCCCGCAGGAACUGAGUCAGACCCCAUCUCAGGGCCCUGCAGAAGAUAGGUGCCUGCUCUAAGGCGUGGACCCUCGCGACAGCCCUGGCCCGUCUUGACGGGCGAGGGUUACUGUACUUGUCCCAAUCGUACAGAUGAGAAAGCUCAGACUCAGGGCCAGCAACCCCGGUCCCAGCGGAGCGCCCGGCACGCGCCGACACUUCAGCACCAGUCGCGGUGGCCACCACUGUGCGCGGAGAUGGCUGCGACGCGUGCGCAGAUCUCGAUCCCAAACUCCCUCCUGCCAGAAUCUGGACCCGAAUCCACCCAUUGCCCAUUUUCCGCUGCCGCUGGAGAGAAUCUCUGAGGUCCCCAGGACAGCCUGCCUGCACGGAAGAGAUGCCUCCUCAGUAUGGCCGCCCCCGGAGAGGAGCGAUUAAGUGCAGACCCCCAUGUUGCUCUUGAGCCUGAGCGGCUUCAGGGAGCCAUGUUUGUUACUGGCGGGCGCCGGCCUCACUGAGCAUGUGCAGCCCUGGCCGGGCGGCCUCAAAGUUCUGACAUCACAGGGCGGUUCCUGAAGUGGACGUAGUUGUAAGAGCUAGUUAUUUUAGACAAUGCCUCUGGGAUCAGGGACUCUAAUCUGGAAAUAGGUAGUGGGAGAGGUCGGUGAUGCUGUCUCGGGGUCAGAGACCUGAGCUAUAUGGGGUUAGAGAGGGGCCCUGGGCAGGCGAGUCUCUGGGGAGUGUGGUGAGAAUCCUUGUGUAAGAUGCUGGGAGGAGGUGGGGUCAGGGCUGGGGUCCGUGGGCCGACGGGUUGGGGGAUGGCCAGCGUCAGGGAUCAGUAGUAGAGAUUCUAUGUGCCCUGAUCGCCAGUAGAGGUUUUAAAUACAGAGUAUUCAUGAGUUUAGCAAUGUUAUUCGCCUCUCAUAAUUUAAAUAAUUUGAAGUUUUCCCCCAGUAACUAGUGUCUUAGAAGUCAUGAAAAUUUCAGAAAAUGACAGGUCUUCUGAGUUCGUGAUGGGAGUUGGGCAGCAGUCGCAUACGAGCACCUGGAGAGUCCUUGCCAGUUCUUUGGGGAUGGGGAGCUCUUAAGACUGCCCUGAGACCGCCCUUUGACCUCAUUAUGGUCCUUUCUAGAUUAAAUGCUGUUUUCCAUGACCGUCUCUGUUCUUCCCAUACGCGAAUGGCAGGCAUCCAGAUCUCCAAGAAUAGAGGAUUAGGAGAGACUCCACCACCUAUGUCCUCACAGUUAAUUAUCGAUUUGUGUCACUUGCCCAUUUUCUCACUUCCUGUUUGUGUGUCAAGGAGUAUUAAUAAAUCUUUGCCUAUUUAAAGAUACUAGCCUUGGAUUUUCAAAUAUUGCAUAUUUUGACAUGUAAAAAUGUGUUAGUUUUAUUUUUUCAACCGAUCUGACCUGUAUAGUUGGGCUUGAGGAAGCUUCCUCAUUGUACAUGUUACUAUGGAUUUUCUAAUAUUAACACAGGGUUGUAUUUUUUCCAUAUAACUUUCUAUUGAAUUUCUUUUUCCAUAUGAUAGGUGGUGAAGGUUUAGCCCAGUAAAGCAGAGAGGUUAAGAGGUUAGACUGGGGGCUCUGGAGCCAGACCUAUGUAGAUCUGAGUCCUGGCUCUGGCACUUGAAAGCCGUGUGACCUUGGUUAAGAUACUUAGCCCCUCUCUGCCAAAUGGAGAAAUAAGGGCACCUACCCCGUAGGGUAGUUGUGUGAGUACACAAGUUAAUACACUUCAAUCACUAGCAAGAAAGUGAAUGUCAAGCUGUAUUUGUUCAGGCAGCCAUAUGGUAGCCCCACCUCAUUAGUAAACUGAGGUAUUGAAGUAUCUUCUUUUUCUUUCAGAAAAUAUUUGUCAAGCACCUUCUGUGUUCUAAGAACUGUUCUAGAGCUUUGCAUGCUAUGGAGGUCUAGAAAUUCACAUUAUGGUGGCAGGUGACAGACAAUACAAAGAGGUAAAGCAAUUUCAUAUAGUGAUAACCUAGGGAGGCGUGCUAAAAGGAGCCAAGGUGUAGUGGUGACUGGAAGGUGACCAGGGAAACCACUGUAGGGUUUCUAACUGAUGAGAUCUGUGACAAAUCCCUGUGGUCAGCAGCAGGCAUUGGAUAUGUAACUUUAUUCUGUCCCAUUGAUCUUGUAGUCAACCCUGGUCUGUUCUGUAUUGUUUUAAUUACAUAAUCUUUGUAAUAAUCUUUAAUACCUGGUGGAGUGCUCUGUUUACUUAUUUCUGCAUAAUUAACCACCCCUAAGCUUAACUUACUCAUGGUUCUGCAGGAUGACUGCUCUCCAUGGUUCUAGGGGUUUCUGCAUGGGGCCUCUCACAUGUGCUACAGUCAAACAUUAGCCGGGGCCACAGUCAUCUGAAACUCACUUACACGGCUGACAAUUGAUGUUGGCUGUUGCCUGGAGAAGACAUAUGUGGCCUGGUGGAAUGGAAUGGUGACUAGAUUCAAGAAAGAGCUUCCCAGGAGCAAGGCUACCAAGAGACCGAAGUAGAGGCUUCAGUUUCUUUAAAAAAAAAAAAAAAAAUCGGGCCAGGUGCGAUGGCUCACGCAUGUAAUCCCAGCACUUUGGGAGGCCAAGGCAGGCAGAUCACAAGGUCAUGAGAUCGAGACCAUCCUGGCCAACAUAGUGAAACCCGUCUCCAAUAAAAAAAAAAAAUACAAAAAUUAGCUGGGCAUGGUGGUGUGUGACGGUAGUCCCAACUACUUGGGAGGCUGAGACAGGAGAAUUUCUAGAACCUGGGAGGCGGGGGUUGCAGUGAGCUGAGAUUGCACCACUGCACUCAAGACUGGCAAUAGAGGGAGACUCCAUCUCAAAAAAAAAAAAAAAUCCAAUAGUAGAAUUCCCAGAAUGGAAUUUAUGUCAUAUUCUAUGGAUUGAGCAAGUUGCAAGGCAGCCACAUUCUAGGGGAAGGGAGCUAUUCCUCACCUCUUGAGAAGCAAUGUGUGUUGAGGAAGGGAAAGAAUUGAUGGUAGCUGUCUUUGACUUCUACCAUACAGAGCAAGGUCUCCACACUCCUUUCUCCUGUAAUAAUUUUCCAUUUGAAAAUUUUCCUUGCAGUUCUCACACCUUUAUUAUUUCAUAUAAAUUUUACAAUCAAUUUUUUUCUUGUCUAGAUAACCAUGCCAUUUGGAUUAAAAUUGCAUUACAUUGCAACUUUUGAGAAACUAUGGGAGGAGAAUUGGCAACCUUAUAAUAUUGAAUUUGCUCAUUAAGGAACAUAGUUUCUCUGUUUAUUUAGGUGUUAUAUUUUUCAUAAUAUACAUGUUGGUAUUUCUACCCAGGCUUUUCUCUUUGUUUUGUCAUGUAAUGCAUGAAUGAGACUGCACUGUCUGUGUGAUUGGGCAGUUGCCCAAAGUUUAAGGUGUUAACAUGCAUUAAUUCACUUAAUCACUUCUCAUUUCCUCCUUCCCUCAACCCCUGACAACCAUGAAUCUGCUUUCUGUCUCUAGAUUUGCCUAUUCUGGACAUUUUAUAUAAAUGUGUCAUCCAAUAUCUGGUCUUUUCUGACUGGCUUCUUUCACUUAGCAGGAUUCUACGGUUUAUUGAGGUUCAUUCAUUGUGUAGGCUGUAUCAGUACUUCAUUCCUGUUUACGGCUGAAUAAUGUUCCACUGUAUGUACAUAUGUAUGUAUACCACACUUUGUAUAUCCAUUUAUUUACUGGAGGAUAUCUGGGUUAUUUACAGUAUAUUUCAGGAGUCCCCAAGAUCAUCCUCCCCCUUGGUAUACUGCUCUUUGUAUCUUAUAUGACCUGUGCAGAACUAUUUAUCUGGAAAUUAGGUGAUGGUUAACUAAAUAUAGUUCUUCUAAAGAUUCAUUUUCCGUUGGUAUUACAUCCUGAGGAGACCUUAACUCAAUCUCCCAAUACAUUUGAUCAUCAAUAUCACUAUUACCACAUGACUUAUUUACAUGAGGUACUCAAAUCUAACCAGCCAUGCCAGUGUUACCCAUAUUGCAUGUUGUGGUAGUAGAUGCAGCCCCCUGAAAUAAAAGUCAAAAGAUGCUGGCACAUUCCUGAGGUUCUUCUCAGCCACUAACAAUUGGUGUAGUUCAUCAUCACCUGGAAUGACCAAAAUGUCUCCC